AUCACAACAAAAAUCAAGAAAAGAUUAUCUUCGCAAAUGGAAAAAGAAUAGGAAUUACAACUAUAGCAGAGUAUUAAUUUUUCCUCCAUGGGGUAAGUAGCAGGGAAGUUUCAGAAAUCAAUCCUGGGGAAGAGAGACAACACUCCAUCAGUGAGCUAAAAAUAAACAACAGUAAAGAUCUGCCCAAUAAGGAUCAGAAAGAUCAAAGCCUGCAUAAGACAGUGAAAAAUCCAUGACAUUAGAAUUUUGUCCAGGCCCAAAGGGAACUAAUUCUGUGGUGAAAUACUGUAAUACAAGCUCCAACUCAAGCACACUCAAAUUCUUAAACAUUCUGUUUCCUGGGAGAUGUAUACAACCCUUUAAGAACUCAUCUGUCUGUUCUGGAAGACAAAUUCUGGAAGAAAUACCUUGCUUUUUUGUUUAAAAGAAGUGAUCUGAGGCUACUCAAAAAUAACAAAACAAACAGUAGAGAACACCAACAUACGACGAACCGCAUACAGCUUUAAAAGACUAUCAACUCUUGUCUGAACCCAGCAUCAUAAACAUCGUAACAGGAACGCAUUCACUGCAGCACAUCGCUCACAGGUAGCUCAGGCAGAAAUAGAAAUGAAGCAGCAGCAGCAGAGCUUCAGUAUGGCCCGUGCACUCUGCUGAAGACCUGAUUCUGCCCAAAUUCAGGUUGGAACUGGAGAGCCACUAGAAAGACCAUUAACUUUGAAGCCUGCAGUCACUUCAAGAAGGACAAUGGAAUUUGAUGAAGUCCAACUCUGGGAUUAUUUUAAAUGGUACAAUAGUAUUGUCUCACCUGAAAUCCCCCAGAACACCACAAAAAACAAGAGUUAAUGUGUUUAGUCCUCAAGACAACUGCAUCUCAAGUUAACUCUAAACCUUCAAGAUACACCUAAACUUCAGCUAAGGAUCUUUGUGUGGAAUUCAGAAGUCUUUUCAAGUCUGAGUGUAACUUGACCCCCAUUGAUGGCUGUACUAAUCUAUUUCCUUGAAAGCAAGGUGAAACAGGACAUUUAAAACCUUCACACAUUAAAUAUGCAUCAACUAAUACAUUUAUUUACUUAUUUUAAGUAUAUGCUGUCAAAGA
This is a long non-coding RNA of Cygnus atratus (black swan), 1096 nucleotides long. RefSeq lists it as uncharacterized. The transcript has 7 exons. The record is from RefSeq and is a predicted model, not a curated record. NCBI's taxonomy places the organism in Eukaryota, Metazoa, Chordata, Aves, Anseriformes, Anatidae.